CCUACGGGUGGCAGCAGUGGGGAAUAUUGCACAAUGGGCGAAAGCCUGAUGCAGCAACGCCGCGUGAGCGAUGAAGGCCUUCGGGUCGUAAAGCUCUGUCCUCACGGAAGAUUAUGACGGUACUUGACGAGUAAGCCCCGGCUAACUACGUGCCAGCAGCCGCGGUAAUACGUAGGGUGCUAGCGUUAUCCGGAAUUACUGGGCGUAAAGGGUGCUUAGGUGGUUUCUUAAGUCAGAGGUGAAAGGCUACGGAUAAAACGAAGUACGCCUUUGAAACUGGGAAACUUGAGUGCAGGAGAGGAGAGUGGAAUUCCUGGUGUAGCGGUGAAAUGCGUAGAUAUUAAGAGGAACACCAGUUGCGAAGGCGGCUCUCUGGACUGUAACUGACACUGAGGCACGAAAGCGUGGGGAGCAAACAGGAUUAGAUACCCGAGUAGUC
Molecule: ribosomal RNA, 439 nt
Filed under: uncultured bacterium
Lineage: Bacteria
Description: partial 16S ribosomal RNA
Rfam family: Bacterial small subunit ribosomal RNA
Source: RNAcentral